Molecule: ribosomal RNA, 836 nt
Filed under: uncultured bacterium
Lineage: Bacteria
Description: bacterial SSU rRNA
Rfam family: Bacterial small subunit ribosomal RNA
Source: RNAcentral
AAGAUAUUAGCAGAAGUUUUCGGAUGGAAGCGGAUAUGACUUAGCGGCGGACGGGUGAGUAACGCGUGGAUAACCUGCCUCAUACAGGGGGAUAACAGUUAGAAAUGACUGCUAAUACCGCAUAAGCGCACAGGACCGCAUGGUCCGGUGUGAAAAACUCCGGUGGUAUGGGAUGGAUCCGCGUCUGAUUAGCUGGUUGGUGAGGUAACGGCCCACCAAGGCGACGAUCAGUAGCCGACCUGAGAGGGUGGCCGGCCACAUUGGGACUGAGACACGGCCCAAACUCCUACGGGAGGCAGCAGUGGGGAAUAUUGCACAAUGGGGGAAACCCUGAUGCAGCAACGCCGCGUGAGUGAAGAAGUAUUUCGGUAUGUAAAGCUCUAUCAGCAGGGAAGAAGAAAGACGGUACCUGACUAAGAAGCCCCGGCUAACUACGUGCCAGCAGCCGCGGUAAUACGUAGGGGGCAAGCGUUAUCCGGAUUUACUGGGUGUAAAGGGAGCGUAGACGGCUGUGCAAGUCUGAAGUGAAAGCCCGUGGCUCAACCGCGGAACUGCUUUGGAAACUGUAUAGCUUGAGUACUGGAGAGGCAGGCGGAACUCCUAGUGUAGCGGUGAAAUGCGUAGAUAUUAGGAGGAACACCAGUGGCGAAGGCGGCCUGCUGGACAGAAACUGACGUUGAGGCUCGAAAGCGUGGGGAGCAAACAGGAUUAGAUACCCUGGUAGUCCACGCGGUAAACGAUGAAUGCUAGGUGUUGGGGAGCAAAGCUCUUCGGUGCCGUCGCAAACGCAGUAAGCAUUCCACCUGGGGAGUACGUUCGCAAGAAUGAAACUCAAA